Long non-coding RNA from Beta vulgaris subsp. vulgaris (sugar beet), 1559 nucleotides. RefSeq lists it as uncharacterized. Lineage: Eukaryota; Viridiplantae; Streptophyta; Magnoliopsida; Caryophyllales; Amaranthaceae. The transcript is spliced from 2 exons. The record is from RefSeq and is a predicted model, not a curated record.
AAAUUGCAAAAAUAAUUAUUAAAGAUCUGCAUCUACACGCACCUUGAAAACUAAUAACUUAGUAGGGAGAAGAGAAAGGAUAGUGUAAUAGCCCUGUUUUUAAAGAUGUUUAUUUAAAUGCUAAUUACAUUCAUUAAGUUAAUUAUGUUUCGGAAAUUCUUAUUUGAGUUGGAGUUGAAUUAUAUUGUCGUCUUUUUAAUAUACUUAUAUGUUUAAUUUUAUAAGGUUAUUAUUAUUAAUAUUAUUUUAUAUUUUGAAUUUUGUGCAUUUAGUUGAGCGGUAUUUGGUCCAAAUAGAAAACAAAGUCGGGUUCCCAUCCUUUAAUAUUGGCAGUUUGUUUUGGAAGAUGAACUCCAAAGUUUCCCCUUUCUUUUGGUCGGUCAAAUUAGAUCCCAAACCCCUUAUUUCUUUCUUGUACCUUCUAACCCCAUGAAACCCCAAUCCCCGUGAAAUGAAGAAACCCAAAACCCCAAACAUCAAUAUUUUUCUCUCUCUCUCGUCCUGCUCGAGCUCCACCGACGAACAACCGCCGGACUUGCGCUGCCGUUGUCGCGCUGCUGCUCGUCGGUGUUUCGAUUAUUGUCGCGUCUUCCCUUCGCCUGAGUUUCAUCUUCUCUGCCGUUCUGUAGCCCCCUGUUCUUCUCUCUCCGCCGUCGUUGUGUUGUUGUUGUUUGUGUUCAGUGCUGCUUUGCGUCACGUCGCCUGUUCACCGUUGACGGACCCUCGUCGCACCACGAACCCCCGCGAACCGCCGAAGUUCUCUGCGUCCCUGCUCAAUAGAGCAGAGGUAUGAUAUACCUCUUUCUCUUAUUCUGGUUUUCUAUUUGUAAUUUAUGCUCGGGUUGUUGUUGUGGUUUGUUGUUGUUAUUUGGUGCUGUCGUGUUGUUGUUAUUUGGUGCUGUCGUGUUGUUGGUGUCGUCGUUAUUGUUGUUGUUCUUUGCUGUGGUAGUGGUGUUGUUAUCUGGUUGUCAUUGUUAAAGAAACAACCAAGUCAGGUUGUUAUUUUCCUAAUGGAGAAAAAGGAAUAGUUAGCUUUUGUCUUCCUUUCAUAUUAUUAAAUUAGUUGCUUGCUUGUUUAGGAAAGUUAUUAGUAGAGUUAAAUUUGUUUAGUUUGAUUAAGUUAAGAGUUAUAGUUCUUAAUUGAGGAUAAAGGAAAUUAGAGUGAUAAGUGGAGGUAAUUUCUAGAUUGGGAAUUAGUUGUGAUUAUGAUUUCUAGUUUAGAUUAGUUUAAGUUUGAUGAUUCAUUAUCGCUAUAAUUGUGAGGUGAUUCUUAGAGGAUGAUUUUGGAGUGAAGAAUCGUUCGGGAUUAUGAAGUUGAUUCUGUCGUUGGACUCGGAUUGCGUAUGAGGUUUGAUAUUCAGAGCUCGGAAUUCGAAGUGGAGCAAGAUCAAGUUGUCAUAGUAGCUUAAGGAUUAAGCUUGUAUUUUAGGUUGUUGGUUUGAGAAUAGUUAUUUAUAUUUCGUUGUAUAUAAUAUUUAGGACUAUUAGUUCAACUAUUGGUGUAUUUGAGGAUAUUUUUCCGCUGCGAUUCUAUUAAUUAAGAGUUAAUUAUUUGUUGA